Molecule: transfer RNA, 73 nt
Filed under: Candidatus Bathyarchaeota archaeon
Lineage: Archaea; Thermoproteati; Candidatus Bathyarchaeota
Description: tRNA-Trp
Rfam family: tRNA
About the family: Transfer RNA (tRNA) molecules are approximately 80 nucleotides in length.
Source: RNAcentral
GCCGAAAGCUCAGCCUGGUUAGAGCGCCAGCCUCCACAUCUGGAGGUCGGGGGUUCGAAACCCCCUCCCGGCA